UACGAAGGGUGCAAGCGUUACUCGGAAUUACUGGGCGUAAAGCGUGCGUAGGUGGUUUGUUAAGUCUGUUGUGAAAGCCCCGGGCUCAACCUGGGAAUGGCAAUGGAUACUGGCAGGCUAGAGUGCGGUAGAGGGUAGUGGAAUUCCCGGUGUAGCGGUGAAAUGCGUAGAGAUCGGGAGGAACACCAGUGGCGAAGGCGGCCUGCUGGGCUAUGGCUGACACUGAGGCGCGAAAGCGUGGGGAGCAAACAGG
Molecule: ribosomal RNA, 253 nt
Filed under: uncultured bacterium
Lineage: Bacteria
Description: partial 16S ribosomal RNA
Rfam family: Bacterial small subunit ribosomal RNA
Source: RNAcentral